GCCGGGCAUGGUGGCACAUGCCUGUAAUCCCAGCUUCUUGGGAGGCUGAGGCGGGAGAAUCGCUGGGACCCGGGAGGCAGAGGCUGCAGUGAGCCGAGAUCGCACUACUGUACUCCAGUCUUGGCAACAGGGGAAGACUCCAUCUCAAAAAAAAUAAAAUAAAAUAAAAUAAAAAGGUACGUAUAAUCUGGACAGAGAUGUUUUGCUGAAAUUAAGGACACAGGCUUGGAUGAACUGGCCCAGGUCAGAAAUAGAGGCAGUCAAAACUCCUGUGCUGAUCAGUAGUGGGAUGGUACCUGUGAAUAGCCACUGUAUUGCAGCCUGGGCAACAGAGUGAGACUCUGUCUCAA
This 350-nucleotide signal recognition particle RNA is filed under the name Homo sapiens (human). RNAcentral's name for it is "Metazoan signal recognition particle RNA". It matches the Rfam family "Metazoan signal recognition particle RNA". Rfam says of the family: The signal recognition particle (SRP) is a universally conserved ribonucleoprotein. The record is from Rfam by way of RNAcentral. Lineage: Eukaryota; Metazoa; Chordata; Mammalia; Primates; Hominidae.